This 468-nucleotide ribosomal RNA is filed under the name uncultured bacterium. Its description in RNAcentral is "partial 16S ribosomal RNA". It matches the Rfam family "Bacterial small subunit ribosomal RNA", at positions 28 to 507 of the family's 1533-position model. The record is from RNAcentral.
GACGAACGCUGGCGGCGUGCUUAACACAUGCAAGUCGAACGGAAAGGCCCUGCUUUUGUGGGGUGCUCGAGUGGCGAACGGGUGAGUAACACGUGAGUAACCUGCCCUUGACUUUGGGAUAACUUCAGGAAACUUGGGCUAAUACCGGAUAUGAGCUCCUGCUGCAUGGUGUGGGUUGGAUAGUUUCGGCGGUUGGGGAUGGACUCGCGGCUUAUCAGCUUGUUGGUGGGGUAGUGGCUUACCAAGGCUUUGACGGGUAGCCGGCCUGAGAGGGUGACCGGAAACAUGGGGACUGAGAUACGGACCAGACUGCAAAGGGAGGCAGCAGUGGGGAAUAUUGCAAAAUGGGCGGAAGCCUGAUGCAGCAACGCCGCGUGCGGGAUGACGGCCUUCGGGUUGUAAACCGAUUUCGCCUGUGACGAAGCGUGAGUGACGGUAAUGGGUAAAGAAGCACCGGCUAACUACGUG